UUGGCGCUGACGACAUUUCUCUCCGGUUUGGCUAUGGGGUUCUGACUAAAACAAACUCAACAUCAAACGCCAUUUCUUGUUUAUAUCAGCACCGUAUUUUCAUCUAUCCAUGUGAUUUAAGCCAUUUGAUUUACACAAAAAGUUUACGUGUUUGAACAGGACAAUCCAACGCAAAACCUUUUGGCGAAGAAGCCAAAAAUGUUGUUGUAAAACGGACCAAGCGACACAAAUAUGUUAAACAUUUUCCAAAGCCAAAUGGAUUUUAAAGAAAACUAAAGCUUGAUGUGGCAUAUGUAUGCGUGUUCCCAACAAAAGGCUGCAGAAAUAUCGAUAAGGUGCAACGCAAAGGGGGAAAAAAAAACGUGGGAACAAAAGCAGAUAAACAAUUCAGUUGACAAAUAAUGAAUCGCAAAAAAAAACGGGGUUUGUAUUCUGUUAUCUGUGUGUGUGAAAACGAUUUUUGUACAUUUCAAAAAAUGGGAAAGGGAGCAAGUAAUUGGAGGAUAUCAAUAUUGAUUUCAAAGUCAAUAAAAAAAAUUAACAUUGAAAAACUUUAUUUUUUGAUUUUUACAACUGCAUGGCGAAAAAAAAAAGAAAAAAGAAUUAUAGUACGAUUAAACUUUGUCUGGUGUCUUUUUUUUUUCUUCAUUGUAUCAAUGACGAUGAUUUUAUUUUGUUUUACAGAGCUAUAAAGCAAUUUUCAACUUCCCUGCUCGGAACUAAUAACAAUUUGGCUCGCACUACAAAGAAUUUUUCACUAAUUCCGAGUGCUAGAUAAUUAUUCCUUUUUUGAAUCAAUUUUCUUUUUUUUUUCUCUCUUUUUAAGUUUAUGUAUCAUAAAUUUUCGUCAGAGCUCUUCAUUCUCUAAUCAAGUACACACACACACACAGUCCCACGCACACACACAUUGGGGGCGCACAGUCACGGGCUGAAGGGGAACAAAAGGGGGAAAAGCGAAAAACGAUAAAGAAGGUUGAGGUAAAUGAAAUCCACCAGGUGAGUCGAUCCGUCAAUUUCUAACAACAAACAUAAUUUUCAAAAAGAAGGGGA
Molecule: long non-coding RNA, 1050 nt
Organism: Daphnia magna
Lineage: Eukaryota; Metazoa; Arthropoda; Branchiopoda; Diplostraca; Daphniidae
Exons: 2
Source: RefSeq, a predicted model, not a curated record